Molecule: ribosomal RNA, 391 nt
Filed under: uncultured bacterium
Lineage: Bacteria
Description: bacterial SSU rRNA
Rfam family: Bacterial small subunit ribosomal RNA
Source: RNAcentral
AACGAACGCUGGCGGCAGGCUUAACACAUGCAAGUCGAACGGGCGUAGCAAUACGUCAGUGGCGGACGGGUGAGUAACACGUGGGAAUAUGCCUUUCGGUUCGGAACAACUCGGGGAAACUCGUGCUAAUUCCGGAUACGCCCUUACGGGGAAAGAUUUAUCGCCGAAGGAUUAGCCCGCGUUGGAUUAGCUAGUUGGUGAGGUAAUGGCCCACCAAGGCGACGAUCCAUAGCUGGUUUGAGAGAACGACCAGCCACACUGGGACUGAGACACGGCCCAGACUCCUACGGGAGGCAGCAGUGGGGAAUCUUGGACAAUGGAGGAAACUCUGAUCCAGCCAUGCCGCGUGAGUGAUGAAGGCCUUCGGUUGUAAACUACUUUCGGUCGGGAC